RNAcentral lists this long non-coding RNA (1081 nucleotides) under Olea europaea (common olive). Its description in RNAcentral is "long non-coding RNA (OEUR_LNC005242)". Lineage: Eukaryota; Viridiplantae; Streptophyta; Magnoliopsida; Lamiales; Oleaceae. The record is from RNAcentral.
UCGUCCUCUGCAAAGCGUACACAAGUGACACCUGAACCUAAAUCCUGGGUUCCCAAAAUUCCAUUGAAGAAUUACUGUUGACCAAAUAAGGUCGAAGCACACCCUGUAGCAGAAAUCAUACCACAUGCUGGAUCAGAAGGCCCAUUACUAGAACUGUCGCCUUUAACGUCCCAAAAGCAUCCCAAACAUUAUUGACACCAUGGUACCAACGCUCCAUGAGUCGAGCCACAGCAAAUGAACACAGUGUGUUCACUGAAAUUGGUGGCAAAGCUGAAUCACCAAUGCUCCCCUGAGCAAUGUCCUUAAUCGACCCAGAGCCCAUCACAAAAGAUAUUAUACCAAACUGAACAUCCACCACGGUACUGAACUUGUCUCGAUGUCUCUUAACUAGUGCUGCGCUUCCCUACAAAAUGUACAACUGAGACAUUUUCCGCUCCUCCAAUACAACUCGGACACCUAUUCAGACCUUCAAAACUCCACUUCCACCAGAGAAUUUAUACCCCUUUGCAUCUAGGGUACUUAGAGAGAUAAGAUUUCUUUUCAGGUCUAGAACAUAUCAAACCUGAUCAAUUAUUCUGAUCAUCCCAUCCUGCACUUUAGUCUAACUUAACCGAUUCCAGCAAUAUGGCAAGAUUGGUCGUUUCCCAUUACAACUCAACCUUGCUGAAUAAUCUCAUAUGUCUGAAAGUAAUUCCGACUGGAACACAUAUGAUGCGAAUAUGCCGAAUCGAGAAUUCACUCGUCGUCAAGCCUAGAUUCCAUGUUAGAUACCACAGUCAAUAUCACAUUGCCGCCGUCUGAAAAAUCCUCAAUUACAUUUAUUUCGUCUAAAGUCAAAGGUUGCACUUCAUGAUUUCUAGCUAAAUCAUCUUUAUCCUACAACUUAUCACAAUCCUUCCGAAUAUGUCACUUACGUCUACAGUAGAAGUAAAACAAAUUCCUGUUAUUCGAUACAAGAGUUCCCUCAUCCCUAGAUAUAGCUCCAACCAAAUGCUUCAACUUUUCCUUUGAGUGCAAAGCAUCAUAAAUAUCGUCUAUAGUCAAAAUAUCUCGACUAUACAAAAUGGUGUCCCGAAACGAC